This is a long non-coding RNA of Homo sapiens (human), 1121 nucleotides long. RefSeq annotates it as long independently transcribed non-coding RNA 619. The transcript is spliced from 3 exons. Lineage: Eukaryota; Metazoa; Chordata; Mammalia; Primates; Hominidae. The record is from RefSeq and is marked validated.
AGAUGCCAUGAGUCCAAAGGAAUCAUCCCGCCCCCAGCAGACAAGCGUGGAGCCAGCCUGCUCCUCUGGCCAAAGCAUUCCACCCCCGGACCUCUCCUCCAGGAAGAAGAGAUGUGGAAGAAGAGAUGUGGGUAUGGUGGAUUCUGACCCUUGGCUCCCCAAAGUUCCACAGAGCCCAGCUCCCACUGAAGGCAUAUGACCCAGAUCCUGAGAACCAGAUGCACCGGCCUGAGCUUUCGUCAGAAGCAAGGACACACAGAACCUUUCUUAGAGGCAUCAUUAGAGGACCGGACAUGGUGGCCAGAGGCUGCAGGGACAGAAGUCCCAGGGCCAUGUCCAGGAACUGGGCUCAGGGGACCUCCUGGUGCCACCUGCAUAUCUGAGCCCAUGGAGUUCCUCUGGUCUAUUCAGUUCUCUCAUUUUAACUUAAUUUUGUUUUUGUAGGCUUUCUUAAAAAAUUGCCCAGUUCAUUUACCUGAUCACGUUUAUUGUUCAGAGUUGAGUGUGGUUCUCUCGUAAUUAUUUAGUCUCCACUGGGUCUGUGAUUAUAUUUCCUUUCUUAUUGCUAAUGCUGUUUGUGUUUGAUUUUCUUCUUUUUUUUCUUGGCCUGACUUAAAGAGGUUUGUCUGUUUUAUCUUUAUUUUAAAAAUAACCAACUGUUUAUUUUUACUUCUCCACUGUGAUUUCCCCCUUUAUUUCUUUAAUGUUUGAGUUUAUAUUUUUUCCUAUUUAUUUUGGCUUAAAUUUUAUUAUCAUUUUGCUAUAUCCUUGUGUCAAGCGCUUAAUUCAAUUAUUUUGUUAUUUUGACUUCUAAAAAAUCAGUUAAUUCUAUAAGUUUUCCUCUAUGUACUACAUUGAGCAAACUCCACAGAUUUCUGUAGGGGGCAUACUAAUUGUAAUUCAAUUUCGUUUUCCAUGUGUAGGUCCAGAUUUAUUUGAAUGUCCAAAUACUUAGAAUUGUAGGCUCUUGUUUUGUUAUUAAAGUCUGGUUUUAUUACAUUGUGUUUAGAGAAAAUAAUAUGGAGGAUUUUAAUUUUAGAUAAAGCAUUAAUAUCUUUUUUAUCCUCAAACAUGAUCAAUUUUUGACAGUGUUCCAAAAAUAUACUAUGAAAUAUAUAUUA